RNAcentral lists this ribosomal RNA (360 nucleotides) under uncultured bacterium. Its description in RNAcentral is "partial 16S ribosomal RNA". It matches the Rfam family "Bacterial small subunit ribosomal RNA", at positions 338 to 696 of the family's 1533-position model. The record is from RNAcentral.
CCUACGUGUGGCUGCAGUGAGGAAUAUUGGUCAAUGGCCGCAGGGCUGAACCAGCCAAGUCGCGUGAGGGAUGACGGUCCUAUGGAUUGUAAACCUCUUUUGUCAGGGAGCAAAGGUCGCCACGUGUGGCGCUUUGCGAGUACCUUAAGAAAAAGCAUCGGCUAACUCCGUGCCAGCAGCCGCGGUAAUACGUAGGAUGCGAGCGUUAUCCGGAUUUAUGGUGUUUAAAGGGUGCGCAGGCGGAAUGUAAAGUCAGCGGUAAAAUUUCGGUGCUCAACCCCGUCGUGCCGUUGAAACUGGAGUUCUUGAGUGAGCGAGAAGUAUGGGGAAUGCGUGGUGUAGCGGUGAAAUGCAUAGAUA